Molecule: ribosomal RNA, 253 nt
Filed under: uncultured bacterium
Lineage: Bacteria
Description: partial 16S ribosomal RNA
Rfam family: Bacterial small subunit ribosomal RNA
Source: RNAcentral
UACGUAGGGGGCUAGCGUUGUCCGGAAUCAUUGGGCGUAAAGAGCGUGUAGGCGGCCCGGUAAGUCCGCUGUAAAAGUCAAAGGCUCAACCUUUGAAUGUCAGUGGAUACUGCCGGGCUAGAGUCCGGAAGAGGCGAGUGGAACUCCUGGUGUAGCGGUGAAAUGCGCAGAUAUCAGGAGGAACACCGGUGGCGAAGGCGGGUCUCUGGGCAACAACUGACGCUGAGGAGCGAAAGCGUGGGGAGCGAACAGG